Molecule: long non-coding RNA, 233 nt
Filed under: Gallus gallus (chicken)
Lineage: Eukaryota; Metazoa; Chordata; Aves; Galliformes; Phasianidae
Source: RNAcentral
GUAUGAUUAUGCAUGCCAUCCUGUACCAACUCAGCUUGAACUGGAGACAAUGGCAACAGAAAAUGUUAACACUCAUGAUCUCAUGAGAAAAUGAAGCUGCCAUUUCACAACCAGGUCCACCAGAAGUUACUGCUUUAUAUGUCAUGAUGGAAGGCACUACAAUUGUGGCAUUAAAACAAGAAGCUGUAAUACAUCAUGAGAAAUGUGGAAGUCCCUAUGACAGGUGCAAAGCG